This 462-nucleotide ribosomal RNA is filed under the name uncultured bacterium. Its description in RNAcentral is "partial 16S ribosomal RNA". It matches the Rfam family "Bacterial small subunit ribosomal RNA", at positions 29 to 523 of the family's 1533-position model. The record is from RNAcentral.
AGCGAACGCUGGCGGCAGGCCUAAUACAUGCAAGUCGAACGGCUCUUCGGAGCAGUGGCGGACGGGUGAGUAACACGUGGGAACGUGCCCUUUGGUACGGAACAACUGAGGGAAACUUCAGCUAAUACCGUAUGUGCCCCCAUUCUUAGCGGGAUGGGUGGGACAGAUUUAUCGCCAUUGGAGCGGCCCGCGUUUGAUUAGCUAGUUGGUGGGGUAAAGGCCCACCAAGGCUACGAUCCAUAGCUGGUCUGAGAGGAUGAUCAGCCACACUGGGACUGCGACACGGCCCAGACUCCUACGGGAGGCAGCAGUAGGGAAUCUUGCGCAAUGGGCGAAAGCCUGACGCAGCCAUGCCGCGUGAAUGAUGAAGGUCUUAGGAUUGUAAAAUUCUUUCACCGGGGAAGAUAAUGACGGUACCCGGAGAAGAAGCCCCGGCUAACUUCGUGCCAGCCGCCGCCGUAA